Molecule: small RNA, 287 nt
Filed under: Corynebacterium pseudotuberculosis C231
Lineage: Bacteria; Bacillati; Actinomycetota; Actinomycetes; Mycobacteriales; Corynebacteriaceae
Description: 5' ureB small RNA
Rfam family: 5' ureB small RNA
Source: Rfam by way of RNAcentral
CAGCUUCCACCUGUUCCGGGGAAAUAAAGUGGAUGUGCGUAUCAAUAGCGCCAGCAGUGACAAUCUUGCCUUCGCCACCAAUAACUUCCGUACCCACACCGACGAUGAUGUCGAUGUUGUCCAUAAUAUCGGGGUUGCCCGCUUUACCGAUCUUCAUGAUCUUGCCGUCUUUCACAGCAAUAUCAGCAGAGUAAAUACCGGUGUAGUCCACGAUAAUGGUGUUCGUGAUAACCAGGUCCGGGACCUGAUCUGCCUCGACGCGCGAGUUUUGACCCAUGCCGUCGCGG